This 738-nucleotide ribosomal RNA is filed under the name uncultured Methanosaeta sp. RNAcentral describes it as "bacterial SSU rRNA". It matches the Rfam family "Archaeal small subunit ribosomal RNA", at positions 67 to 809 of the family's 1478-position model. Lineage: Archaea; Methanobacteriati; Methanobacteriota; Methanomicrobia; Methanotrichales; Methanotrichaceae. The record is from RNAcentral.
UGUAGCAUACAUGGCGAACUGCUCAGUAACACGUGGACAACCUGCCUAGGUUGGGUAUAAACCCGGGAAACUGGGUAUAAUACCCGAUAGGUCUCGAUUGCUGGAAUGCAUCGAGAUUUAAAGCUCCGGCGCCUAAGGAUGGGUCUGCGGCCUAUCAGGUAGUAGUGGGUGUAGCGUACCUACUAGCCUACGACGGGUACGGGUUGUGAGAGCAAGAGCCCGGAGAUGGAUUCUGAGACACGAAUCCAGGCCCUACGGGGUGCAGCAGGCGCGAAAACUUUACAAUGCUGGCAACAGCGAUAAGGGAACCUCGAGUGCCAGGUUACAAAUCUGGCUGUCGAGAUGCCUAAAAAGCAUUUCAUAGCAAGGGCCGGGCAAGACCGGUGCCAGCCGCCGCGGUAACACCGGCGGCUCGAGUGGUAACCGUUAUUAUUGGGUCUAAAGGGUCUGUAGCCGGCCGGAUAAGUCUCUUGAGAAAUCUGGCAGCUUAACUGUCAGGCUUUCAGGAGAUACUGUCUGGCUCGAGGCCGGGAGAGGUGAGAGGUACUUCAGGGGUAGGGGUGAAAUCUUGUAAUCCUUGAAGGACCACCAGUGGCGAAGGCGUCUCACCAGAACGGACCUGACGGCAAGGGACGAAAGCUAGGGGCACGAACCGGAUUAGAUACCCGGGUAGUCCUAGCCGUAAACGAUACUCGCUAGGUGUCGGCCACGGUGCGACCGUUGUCGGUGCCGUAGGGA